GACGAACGCUGGCGGCGUGCUUAACACAUGCAAGUCGAACGGAAAGGCCCUGCUUUUGUGGGGUGCUCGAGUGGCGAACGGGUGAGUAACACGUGAGUAACCUGCCCUUGACUUUGGGAUAACUUCAGGAAACUGGGGCUAAUACCGGAUAGGAGCUCCUGCUGCAUGGGGGGGGUUGGAAAGUUUCGGCGGGUGGGGAUGGACUCGCGGCUUAUCAGCUUGUUGGUGGGGUAGUGGCUUACCAAGGCUUUGACGGGUAGCCGGCCUGAGAGGGUGACCGGCCACAUUGGGACUGAGAUACGGCCCAGCCCCCUACGGGAGGCAGCAGUGGGGAAUGUUGCACAAUGGGCGGAAGCCUGAUGCAGCAACGUCGCGUGCGGGAUGACGGCCUUCGGGUUGUAAACCGCUUUGGCCUGUGACGAAGGGUGAGUGCCGGUAGUGGGUAAAGAAGCGCCGGCUAACUACGUG
This 468-nucleotide ribosomal RNA is filed under the name uncultured bacterium. RNAcentral describes it as "partial 16S ribosomal RNA". It matches the Rfam family "Bacterial small subunit ribosomal RNA", at positions 28 to 507 of the family's 1533-position model. The record is from RNAcentral.